RNAcentral lists this RNase P RNA (348 nucleotides) under Denitrovibrio sp. Its description in RNAcentral is "RNase P RNA component class A". It matches the Rfam family "Bacterial RNase P class A". From Rfam's summary of the family: Ribonuclease P (RNase P) is a ubiquitous endoribonuclease, found in archaea, bacteria and eukarya as well as chloroplasts and mitochondria. Its best characterised activity is the generation of mature 5'-ends of tRNAs by cleaving the 5'-leader elements of precursor-tRNAs. Cellular RNase Ps are ribonucleoproteins. The record is from RNAcentral. Lineage: Bacteria; Pseudomonadati; Deferribacterota; Deferribacteres; Deferribacterales; Geovibrionaceae.
AAAGAAGACCGUUCAGUCGCUGGUGCUUUCGAGCACGAGAGGAAAGUCCGGACACCAAAGGGCAGGGUGGCUGAUAACAUCAGCCUGACGUGAGUCAGAGACAGUGCCACAGAAAUAAACCGCCGUUUAUUAACGGUAAGGGUGAAACGGUGGUGUAAGAGACCACCGCUGAUGCUGGUAACAGCACAGGCUAGGUAAACCUCACUCGGUGCAAUGCCAAAUAGGCAGGUUACUUGAAGCGGCCCGCUUUUUAAGACCUGCGGGUAGGCAGCUUGAGCUAUGGAGUAAUUCAUAGCCUAGAUAAAUGACUGGAGAUAACAGGAUCCGGCUUAUAGGUAUUCUUUCUUU